This 478-nucleotide ribosomal RNA is filed under the name uncultured bacterium. RNAcentral describes it as "partial 16S ribosomal RNA". It matches the Rfam family "Bacterial small subunit ribosomal RNA", at positions 28 to 507 of the family's 1533-position model. The record is from RNAcentral.
GACGAACGCUGGUGGCGUGCUUAACACAUGCAAGUCGAACGGGAUUUAGUAAACAGAAGCCUCGGUGGAAGAUUACUAAUGAGAGUGGCGAACGGGUGAGUAACGCGUGAGCAACCUGCCUAUGACAGUGGGAUAGCCUCGGGAAACCGGGAUUAAUACCGCAUAAAAUCGUAGAAACACAUGUUUUAACGGUCAAAGAUUUAUCGGUCAUAGAUGGGCUCGCGUCUGAUUAGCUAGUUGGUGAGAUAACAGCCCACCAAGGCGACGAUCAGUAGCCGGUCUGAGAGGAUGAACGGCCACAUUGGAACUGAGACACGGUCCAAACUCCUACGGGAGGCAGCAGUGGGGAAUAUUGCACAAUGGGGGAAACCCUGAUGCAGCGACGCCGCGUGAACGAAGAAGGUAUUCGUAUCGUAAAGUUCUGUCCUAUGGGAAGAUAAUGACGGUACCAUAGAAGAAAGCUCCGGCUAAAUACGUG